GUAGGUGGCAAGCGUUGUCCGGAAUUAUUGGGCGUAAAGCGCGCGCAGGCGGUUCUUUAAGUCUGAUGUGAAAGCCCACGGGCUCAACCGUGGAGGGUCAUUGGAAACUGGAGAACUUGAGUACAGAAGAGGAAAGCGGAAUUCCACGUGUAGCGGUGAAAUGCGUAGAGAUGUGGAGGAACACCAGUGGCGAAGGCGGCUUUCUGGUCUGUAACUGACGCUGAGGCGCGAAAGCGUGGGGAGCGAACAGGAUUAGAUACCCUGGUAGUCCACGCCGUAAACGAUGAGUGCUAAGUGUUAGGGGGUUUCCGCCCCUUAGUGCUGCAGCUAACGCAUUAAGCACUCCGCCUGGGGAGUACGGCCGCAAGACUG
RNAcentral lists this ribosomal RNA (372 nucleotides) under uncultured organism. RNAcentral's name for it is "partial 16S ribosomal RNA". It matches the Rfam family "Bacterial small subunit ribosomal RNA", at positions 527 to 896 of the family's 1533-position model. The record is from RNAcentral.